This 98-nucleotide transfer RNA is filed under the name Comamonas sp. KCTC 72670. RNAcentral describes it as "tRNA-Thr". The record is from RNAcentral. Lineage: Bacteria; Pseudomonadati; Pseudomonadota; Betaproteobacteria; Burkholderiales; Comamonadaceae.
CGACCAGUGCCGCACGGACCUGGGCGGGCAUCGGGUUCGUGGCGCGCUGGAGUGUCGGCCGUUUCGGGGUGGCCAUGGUUCGCUCCUGUUUGGUCGCC